CAUGGGCGGCUUGGCUUGAGGAGAGAGUGCGGAGCACAGAGGACGCCGUCGGGGCCGAUACUCAGCGGUGAACUCCCUCGAGCGCGUCACGCGCCUCCCUUUCCUUUCUCACAUGGGGAGAGACCGCACGCACUGUGAGACGAGCUGCGUGUCGGAGAGCAGUUGCACAGUGGCGAUGCCCGCACAAGUCCGCAGCUGUAGCGCUGUGGCGUUGGAGCUCAGGCGGGUCGCCUCCGUGGACACCCCCCGCACCUGCAACUGCUUGCUAGCCGCCCCCUGCUCGCCCCCGAGCGAGCCCGGCGGCUUGUCGGCUCAGUCCUCUGCUGCUCCAGACGGUGAUAAAGUCCAGAGACCGGCGCUCCGCCUCCUCGCUGCCUCAUACGAACUGAGGGUUGCCUCUUCGUCGGCUACUGCCCCCGCUUCGACAGAGGUGAGUGACGGGGACGAGGCCGCAGGCCCGAGGCACGUCGGCGAAUGUGCGCUCUAUGAAUGCGUUGCCUCCGGGGAUGGGGAGGGGGUGGAUGAGGCUUCUCUCCAUGUGCAGCGCCGCACGGCGGCGCUGCCCGGUGUCUUCGACGCUGUUUCGGUGCCCUCAUCAUUCUUCAGCACUGCAACCCUGUUGUCUGCCGCCGACGCGCCUCCAUGCAUCGUGCUGGCGUGCACGGAUGGCAGUGUGCGAGUCCUCGACCCCUUCACGCUCAGCCCCGUAGUGGACCCGCUGCGUGACCUUCACGCGGAGAUGCUGACCAGCUGCACGGCGCUUCACUAUCCCACUCCACACCUCUUGUGCUCAGCCCAUACGGGGUCAGUUUAUCUGUAUUCGCUCGCAGAACGGUGCGUGACGCAGGAGCUGGAGGGGCACGAGUACGAUGCGUGGUGCACGGCGAUGCUGCCUACUGGCGGGUGGUGGCCCGCUGCCCCGGCUUCUCCUCCCAAUGGAGGCUGCAGCGACCACGACAACAUUGACGGUGAAGCAGAGGCUGGUGACAUGCCCGCCAGGGCCAGCACAAGCGCGUUGCUCGCGUCUGGCGGCGACGAUGGUUACUGCAAGCUGUAUGAUAUGCGCACCAACCCCAGCCGCGCCGUUAGCCGCUCACGCUUCGGUGCCGGCGUGGUUUCCAUUACACCUGUGCUGGACACUCUCGACGGCUUGUUGGCCGCCCACGCCACACCGUAUCUACUGGUGGGCUCGUACGACGAGUCCAUCUCGCUCGUCGACGUGCGCAGCAUGCGGAGUCCUGUGGCGCAGCGCGGCGGGCUUGGCGGAGGCGUAUGGCGCACGUCCCGCUGCCUCCUCCCGCUAUGGGACUCCGGGGCUGCCGUGUCGGACGACGUCGGGGCCGUGGCGAGUGACGACGGCAACGUGAACCUGUCGCUGCUGCUGGCCAGCGCGAGGGCUGGCUGCCGCCGCAGUGAGGCGAAGCGGCCGUGCACGAUGCAGUCUCUCGCCAGCGGGUGGGCAAACACCUCUAACAUUCUUGUGCUGCCGCUGAUGCAGCGCGGGGCUGCACUGCUGCCGUACGACGUGCGAGCCUCUGCGGAGGAGGUGUUCGGCAACGCAGACGUACCCCUCACUUACUUUUACGGUGAGGCUGUGGAGAGCGACUCAGAGGCGGCGCCUGGCGCCGCGCUCAUUCCUACGUUGACAGACAACACCCUGGUGUAUGAUGCAGCGGUGCUGCGGCCGCUCGACCGGAUCGACUCCCAUGGUGCGGAGACGGCGGCGGACCUGUCCGCCGCCGUGGUGGCCACCGUCUCCUUCUACGAAAGGCGUAUCGACGUGUGGACGGUGGCGGCGGGGCAGCCGCGGAUGUGACGGCGGGCCGCCACGUCGCACAUCGCACGAACCGCCCGAACUAACCAACAACGCGUGUCUUGAGCGUGCCACCUCCGCCGCCCGUUGGGCGGCGUGCGUGCGAGCUCACGUGUGUUGCGACUCGCUCAUCAGCUGAACGUAUGGGACUGUGGUGCGAACCCCAGAGUAGCAGGGACAAAUACGGAGAGAGAAGCAGGCCGGAUGAGCGGCGGCGUGCUGGCGCCGCACUCUUCACGUUGUGCGUGUGUUAUCGCCGGCGCAUUGACGUGGAGGGGCACGAGAGAGAGAGAGGGCGGGGGGGGCUCGGUGCCCCUCGCCGAGCCCUCCCUUCACGUGCUAUUCAUCCCUCCCUCCGCCUCUUUUUCUCUGUGCGACACUUCACCACUCACGCAGGGGUCACAUGUUGCCUGAGAAGCCAUGAACAUGUGUCGCCUUGGCACUUCCUGCAGCCACGGGCAACACCCGGCUAAAACGGCCGCGGGCACACCAAUGCGCGUGCCGCCCGCGCCUCGUCACC
This 2333-nucleotide unclassified non-coding RNA is filed under the name Leishmania donovani. Its description in RNAcentral is "gene:LdHU3.02.0760(CDS-product:hypothetical_prote in_conserved)". Lineage: Eukaryota; Euglenozoa; Kinetoplastea; Trypanosomatida; Trypanosomatidae. The record is from RNAcentral.